UACGCAUCGAAUACUCCGCAAUUCUCAUACUCAUUUAACCGGAACGCCUUAUUCAUUUGCAUGAUACGUCGCAGCUGCUCUCAUUACUCUUAAUUGUUCCUGCUUACUAAAACAACACCGAAAGUAACAAGAUACGUAUCGUAUUUAAUCAAAGAGGAUUCAUUGUAAAGUCAAGUUCCGCUAUGAAAUUAACAUAAAAACAAAGCAUGUGUAUUCCCAUGGGAAUUAAAAAUACGGAAAAUAAUUAGUCUUUUUCACACAUUUCAUAUCAAAUUAAUAAUUAGCUUGGAA
Paramuricea clavata is the source of this 291-nucleotide non-coding RNA. Lineage: Eukaryota; Metazoa; Cnidaria; Anthozoa; Malacalcyonacea; Plexauridae. The record is from the annotation of a GenBank genome assembly.